CUGAAUCCUGGGCUACUUGCUGGGUGUUCACUCUCCUGCUCUUCUCAUGUGUAGUUUCACUAAAGCCUGCCUCAAGUAUUGCGAGGUGCCUAGCCAACAGAUGACUGAUAACUGAAGCCCAGCCUUUCAAUCCCGAGGAAUAGCUUCUGGCUUCCUUGUGCAAUAUCGUCCUGGAAAAUAAAUAAAUGGAAAAGCAAGAUGUGUCUUCAGUGAAGUCCUGGCUUGAAUGGAGAGUGCGGACCCUUUCGUGUUCUGCAGACCAAACAAUUCUUUCUGCGGGCUAGAUUCGACCGGUAUUCAGCAAAAUGGAAAUUGUCAGUAAAAGGACGGGCAUAUUAUUCCUACGCAAGUUAAUUCAUUCAAAUGCACCUUAUUUUCUGAAGUCAUAAUGACAAAAACAAACUGUACCACGAUGGAUAGAAAAAGAGAAACAUAGAAGUCCCUCUGGAACAAGA
This is a long non-coding RNA of Tachyglossus aculeatus (Australian echidna), 455 nucleotides long. RefSeq lists it as uncharacterized. The record is from RefSeq and is a predicted model, not a curated record. NCBI's taxonomy places the organism in Eukaryota, Metazoa, Chordata, Mammalia, Monotremata, Tachyglossidae. The transcript is spliced from 3 exons.